UUUCUAUUGGAUUUCACAUUAGACUCAAAUCGAUUGAUUCUAUCAUAUGAUAGAUAUGAGGUUUGAUGAGUUCAUCUUGAUCUCGAUUUUAUCGGGACUUACAAUAGAAGAACCGAAUCACACGGUAACUGCACCUAGAGAUUCAUCCUUUAAUUCUGCAGGAUUGUCACUACAUACUGCUAGAUAUCACUAGUGGAUUGUGGGAUUAAUUAGAAUUAUUUCGAUGAUCAAUAAUUCUAAUUGACUAAAUUAUAAAGAAUUUUGAUGAUGUUGAUGAUAGAGAUCACAACAUAUCUUACUACCAGACAGAAUUGAACCUAUG
Molecule: long non-coding RNA, 322 nt
Filed under: Elaeis guineensis (African oil palm)
Lineage: Eukaryota; Viridiplantae; Streptophyta; Magnoliopsida; Arecales; Arecaceae
Description: long non-coding RNA (EGUI_LNC004279)
Source: RNAcentral